This is a long non-coding RNA of Physeter macrocephalus (sperm whale), 976 nucleotides long. RefSeq lists it as uncharacterized. NCBI's taxonomy places the organism in Eukaryota, Metazoa, Chordata, Mammalia, Artiodactyla, Physeteridae. The transcript has 3 exons. The record is from RefSeq and is a predicted model, not a curated record.
CCCAGACCAAUGUACAUCACGUCGGAGAGGAAGACACAUAUGUGAUUCAUUUUCUGAAGGCUGAAGUCUAAGGAUUUACCUCACGACCCAGGAAUGUCAUGAGGCUGACUUUGCCCGUUGAGGACAAAUGGCUGCCAGCAGUCCUAGAAAUCGAUGGUCAUGCAUCCAGAUCCAGAGGAAAAGAGAAGGCCCUUCUCUCUGCUAAACUGGCUCACGUUGGCUCCGGACCCCCCGGAACAAAUCCUGUGGCUCUGAUUGGCAAGGCCUGGGCACAGGCUUGUGGAGAGUUUGUGAGGCCCUGAGGACCGCACCAACACUCAAGUCAGUGGAUGCACAGCUAAUCUUCUGCUGAAAGAAAAAUGGAUUCUUAUUUCUCUUCAAGUGUCUCUGGCAACAACUGGGCGUGGGCAGGAACUUGCCUUUAUCUAAACAAAAACAGAAGAUGUACGACCUAUCCAAGCUCUUCUGGCCUACUCUUCUCUGAUGAUACCACUCCGUGGCAGGUUUCUGAGAAUCUUUUAUUUUUCUAGAACUUUAGAGGAAAAUACCCUGUGCUUGAUAUUGUGGUCGAUGAGUGUACGACGGUUGUGUGGGUUCUGGGUGGACAUGGUUUUCUACUUCUCAUCAUGAAAAGGAGACUCUCCCCAUUCCUGGAAACUUCCUCUAGUUAUUGUCUCUUCCCCCCUGCCUGUCCCCCAUCCCAAUUCCUGCCACUCUUUAUUUCUCACCAACGGAAGUUAGGGCUCCCUUUAUGUGAUAUGGAAGGCAUACCCCUCCCCGUGAUAACACUGAGGGACCAUUGUCUCCUGACCGCAUCUUUCCAUCAUCUAUAAUGCACAUUUUGUACUGUUAAUUUAAAUGUCUUUAGUCCACAUCUUACAUUUUUCCUCCAAACAUUUCCUGCAUCAUUCAAAAGGAGUUUGCAAGGCUCUGCCUUUUAACAUUUAAAAGAGAGAAGAGAAAUCUUUAAUGUUAA